UUAGGGUCUGCUAAAUUAAAGCAGUUGGGCCCAUACCCCAAAAACGGUAAUGAUACCCCCUAAC
RNAcentral lists this transfer RNA (64 nucleotides) under Diploderma vela. RNAcentral's name for it is "tRNA-Met". The record is from RNAcentral. Lineage: Eukaryota; Metazoa; Chordata; Lepidosauria; Squamata; Agamidae.